This 320-nucleotide long non-coding RNA is filed under the name Mytilus galloprovincialis (Mediterranean mussel). Lineage: Eukaryota; Metazoa; Mollusca; Bivalvia; Mytilida; Mytilidae. The record is from RNAcentral.
AAUAAUUAGCUGUCUUUGCAUUCCCUUACUUGAUCAUUCCUCUGGAGGACACUGACUGUAAGAAAGCACUAUGUUAUUUGAGAUAUCAAUUCCAAUGUCUUCAUCACAUGCACAAGCCAUGUUUUGCGACACAAUUUAAAUAAUGCAUUUCGGUUGUGUAUUUGAUAACCGAAGCAACACUAAAGGGAGAUACUCCUUCAGGCAGACUGUUUUAGCUAUAAAAAAAAACACGACAAAGGUGUUGAACGUUUUAUAAUCGGUAUCAUCGUUAUCACAUUCGUGGACGGUUUCAAGUGGUGGUAAACAGUGGACAUGAGCCC